RNAcentral lists this long non-coding RNA (312 nucleotides) under Elaeis guineensis (African oil palm). Its description in RNAcentral is "long non-coding RNA (EGUI_LNC073864)". The record is from RNAcentral. Lineage: Eukaryota; Viridiplantae; Streptophyta; Magnoliopsida; Arecales; Arecaceae.
AGAGCCGGACUCCGAUCUCCUCUCAGACGGGCAACUAGCCACCCCUCUCCGCCAGACACUCCAGCCAGACUUCGACCGACAGGCCUGGACCCUCUAGCAGGCCACAGUAACGGCCACGACUCUGCACCACUUCCUGCGACGGAUUUCGCGCGGCUCCAUCACUCCCUGGCAGACCGCAAUAAUGGCCACGAUCCUGCUCCACUUCCUGCGAUGGAUACCAUGCGAUUCCUCCAUCCUCUGGCAAGUCGCGACAACGGACGCCGCUCCACCCCCCACGACAGACUCCACGUGGCAUGUCCCGGUGAUAGCCAC